GGCGAGAUGGCCGAGUGGUCUAAGGCGCCAGACUAAGGAUCAGGACAUUCAGAUGUCCAUUUACAAUCUGGUCCUCCGGGGCGUGGGUUCGAAUCCCACUCUCGUCA
Macrolepiota fuliginosa MF-IS2 is the source of this 107-nucleotide non-coding RNA. The record is from the annotation of a GenBank genome assembly. Lineage: Eukaryota; Fungi; Basidiomycota; Agaricomycetes; Agaricales; Agaricaceae.